CAGCCGCCGCGGGAAUACGGAGGGUGCGAGCGUUAAUCGGAAUUACUGGGCGUAAAGCGGGCGCAGACGGCUACUUAAGCAGGAUGUGAAAUCCCCGGGCUCAACCUGGGGAUUGCGUUCUGAACUGGGUGGCUAGAGUGUGUCAGAGGGGGGUAGAAUUCCACGUGUAGCAGUGAAAUGCGUAGAGAUGUGGAGGAAUACUGAUGGCGAAGGCAGCCCCCUGGGAUAGCACUGACGUUCAUGCCCGAAAGCGUGGGUAGCAAACAGGAUUAGAUACCCCAGUAGUCCCUGUCUCUUAUAC
RNAcentral lists this ribosomal RNA (301 nucleotides) under uncultured bacterium. RNAcentral's name for it is "partial 16S ribosomal RNA". It matches the Rfam family "Bacterial small subunit ribosomal RNA", at positions 509 to 807 of the family's 1533-position model. The record is from RNAcentral.